GAGAUUCAAAAUGCAGCCCAGAAACAAGUGAACACGACUGGAUUAUUCCCUUAACAGCCUCCAAUAUAUUCUCUGUUAUCGUAAUCACACUUCUGCUUGGAGUUUUAUAUAAAAAUCACAGAAAAGAUGCUUCAUCAAGCAACCAUCAAAUUCCCACCAAUCAGGUAAUCCAGUCUUCUAUUAACUGGGAUUCUGUUCUGUUAAAUAAAUCCACAUCUGAAUGCACAGAGAAUUUUAAUAGACAUCUAUUCACCUAAAUAUCAGUGUAGUCAUUAUUUUAGUCUUUUAAUCCGCUCUGAUUAAUAAACAGCUCUUGU
Tachysurus fulvidraco (yellow catfish) is the source of this 317-nucleotide long non-coding RNA. RefSeq lists it as uncharacterized. NCBI's taxonomy places the organism in Eukaryota, Metazoa, Chordata, Actinopteri, Siluriformes, Bagridae. The transcript has 3 exons. The record is from RefSeq and is a predicted model, not a curated record.